RNAcentral lists this long non-coding RNA (2389 nucleotides) under Homo sapiens (human). RNAcentral's name for it is "HSALNT0152143". Lineage: Eukaryota; Metazoa; Chordata; Mammalia; Primates; Hominidae. The record is from RNAcentral.
UUUUUAAGUAUUGUAAGUGUGCCUUACAAUGAUGAUUAUCUAACUGCUGUGAUGAACUCUCUUGAUAUACCAUGCUAAUGUUUCAUAGAAUUUCUCAGAUAAGGGACAAAUACCAAUCUAGGGCUGCCUAUACAAAUGAUAACAAUUCUGACAAUAUGCAACAGACAGACAAGUCAAACUAUACUUCAGAAAUAGUUUUCAAGCUUGCAAGUCUUUUUUUCUGGAAAUACCAGUUUAAAGUGAAGUCUUUAAUGCUCUUUACAUCUUUGAGGAAUUAUUAGCAUUAUCAGAACCAGAACGCCCACCUGUUCCCAGGGACAACCUCAAGAAUCCAGGAUGAAUAUGAAGAAAACUCCAUUCAUUCGUCUAAUCAACAUUCAUCAAGUCCUUUCUUAUAUAGGGCUUGGCAAUAAGGGAUCAAUAAACAAAGUACAAUGUGCAACUAUGAUGCCACAAUAUGGGCAAAGCACAUUUUCAACAGAGGUUAAAAAAAAAAUCUUAAGGCCCACCUCCCUUUUCUUGCAAUUUUUAAAUACAGGAUAUAAAUUCAAACAUUAAGAGUUAAUACGUGGAAAAUACUAUAGGUGUUUUAGAAAACAAAGAUAAGACAAUUCCUAACCUAGAGCAAUUUAAAAUUUAUGAGCCAUUAGGGAAAUGCAAAUAAAUGAGAUAUUACUAUGUGCUCACUAGGAUAGCUGAAAUCAAAAGGCAGACAAAUAACAAGUGUUGGCAAGAUGUGGAAAAAUUGGAGCCUUCAUACACCUUUGGAAGGAGUGUAAAUACUGCAGCUGCUUAGAAAAGCAGUAUGGAAGUUCCUUAAAAAGUUAGUUACAUAUAGUCGGGCGCAUUAGCUCACACCUGUAAUCCCAGCACUUUGGAAGGCCGAGUUAGGUGGAUCACCUGGGGUCGGGAGUUUGAGACCAGCCUGACCAACAUGGAGAAACCCCAUCUCUACUAAAAAUACAAAAUAAUUAGCCAGGCAUGGUGGCACAUGCCUGUAAUCCCGGCUACUUGCGAGGCUGAGGCAGGAGAAUUGCCUAAACCCAAGAGGCAGAAGUUGCGGUGAGCCAAGACCAUGCCAUUGCACUCCAGCCUGGGCAACAAGAGCAAAAGUCCAUAUCAAAAAAAAAAAAAAAAAAAAAAAAAAGCUUAGUUACAUAUAACCCAGCGAUUCCAUUCCUAACUAUAUACCCAAUAGAACUGAACACACAUGUUCACACCAAAAUUUGCAUAUAAAUGUCCACAGCAGCAUUAUCCACAAGGUAGAAAUCACCCACAUGUCCAUCAAUGGAUAAACAAAAUGUGGUAUAUCCAUUUCAUGGAAUAUUAUUCAGCCAUAUCCAAAGGUAGAAACCACGCAAAUGUCCAUCAAUGGAUACACAAAAUGUGAUAUAUCCAUACAGUGGAAUAUUAUUCAGCAAUAAAAAGUAACGAAGCACUGACAUAUGCUACAACAUGGAUAACCUUGAAAACAUUAUGCUCAGUGAAAGAAGUCAGUCGUAAAAAGACACAAAUUGUAUGAUUCCAUCUUUAUGAAAUGUCCAGAACUGGGAAAUCUAUGGAGACAAAGACUAUUGGUUGCCUAGAGCUGGGGAUCAUGGGAAUGGGGAAAGUGAGAAGUAACUGCUAAUGGGUAUAUGGUUUCUUUUUUGGAGUAAUGAAAAUGUUCCAAAAUUGACUGUGGUGAUGGUUGUACAAAUGCAAAAACACUAAGUACUAUUAAAUUGUAUACUUUAGGCUGGGUGCAGUGGCUCAUAUCUGUAAUCCUAGUGCUCUGGAAGACCAAGGUGGGAGAAUUGCUUGAGGCCAGAAGUUCAAGACUGGCCUAGGCAACACAGUGAAACCCUGUCUCUACAAAAAAAUUAAAAAUUAGCCAGGCAUGGUGGUGCAUGCCUGCAGUCUUAGCUAUUCAAGAGGCUGAAGCAGAAAGAUUGCUUGAGCCCCGGAGACCAAGGUUGCAGUGAGCCAUGAUCAUGCUUCUGCACUCCACCCUGGCAAUAGAGUGAGACCCCGUCUCUAAAAAUAAAUAAAUUAAUUAAUUAAUUAAUUCAUUAAUUAAAUUAUAUACUUUAAAAAGAUGAAUUGUAUUGAAUGUGACUUAUCUCAAUAAAACAGUUAUUUGAAGAAUUUAAUAAAGAGAAGAUCAAACAACUCACUCUAACACAAGGAAGAAAUAAAAUGCUAAAGCGGCAGUGACUAUGAAAAACUGUAUAAGCACAGAUACCAUAACUUUCACAUCUGGUGAGGACCUGGAGGAGUAGUUGAAGGCUCCCAGGAAAAAGUUAAUGUGUGGCAGGAACUGACUGGCAAAAGUAGAGAGAACAAGCUCCUGACUGGGGUUAAUAUAAAGACAUGGUAAUUACUUGUUUCACUUCUUGCACAGUUUAAG